Amblyraja radiata (thorny skate) is the source of this 130-nucleotide long non-coding RNA. RefSeq lists it as uncharacterized. The transcript is spliced from 3 exons. NCBI's taxonomy places the organism in Eukaryota, Metazoa, Chordata, Chondrichthyes, Rajiformes, Rajidae. The record is from RefSeq and is a predicted model, not a curated record.
AGACCCUUCUUCAGACUUGUUAAUGAUAUUCUGCAGCCCCUCUUCCAUUCUCUUGCAGACACCUUUCGCAGGUUAUAUGUUUGAAGUUCGAAUCUUGUCUCCAAAAGCUGGUACAUUAAAUAUGCGGGAA